Portunus trituberculatus (swimming crab) is the source of this 77-nucleotide non-coding RNA. The record is from the annotation of a RefSeq genome assembly. NCBI's taxonomy places the organism in Eukaryota, Metazoa, Arthropoda, Malacostraca, Decapoda, Portunidae.
CGCCCGGUAGCUCAGUGGUUAGAGCAACUGGCUUCGCAAGCCAGAGGACCGGGGUUCGAUUUCCCGGGGCCGGGUGG